This 253-nucleotide ribosomal RNA is filed under the name uncultured bacterium. Its description in RNAcentral is "partial 16S ribosomal RNA". It matches the Rfam family "Bacterial small subunit ribosomal RNA", at positions 524 to 776 of the family's 1533-position model. The record is from RNAcentral.
GACGAAGGUGGCGAGCGUUGUUCGGAAUCACUGGGCAUAAAGCGCACGUAGGCGGCGACGUAAGUUGGGUGUGAAAUCCCUCGGCCCAACCGAGGAACUGCGCCCAGUACUGCGUUGCUUGAGGAUCCAAGGGGUGCAUGGAAUUCCCGGUGGAGCGGUGAAAUGCGUUGAUAUCGGGAGGAACACCUGUGGCGAAAGCGGCUCACUGGACCACAACUGACGCUGAGGCGCGAAAGCUAGGGGAGCAAACAGG